GGGGGUGGAUGAGGCCUGGUGGCCUUCCCGGUCUUCAAAACCGGUCGCGGGGCGAGAAGCCCUGGGUGGGUUCGAUUCCCACACACUCCCGCCA
RNAcentral lists this transfer RNA (94 nucleotides) under Peptococcaceae bacterium. RNAcentral's name for it is "tRNA-Sec". It matches the Rfam family "Selenocysteine transfer RNA". The record is from RNAcentral. Lineage: Bacteria; Bacillati; Bacillota; Clostridia; Eubacteriales; Peptococcaceae. RNAcentral also lists the same sequence under 1 other name.